Molecule: transfer RNA, 70 nt
Filed under: uncultured Paraburkholderia sp.
Lineage: Bacteria; Pseudomonadati; Pseudomonadota; Betaproteobacteria; Burkholderiales; Burkholderiaceae
Description: tRNA-Pseudo-???
Rfam family: tRNA
About the family: Transfer RNA (tRNA) molecules are approximately 80 nucleotides in length. Their secondary structure includes four short double-helical elements and three loops (D, anti-codon, and T loops).
Source: RNAcentral
GGAGUGGUAGUUCAGUCGGUUGGACCUGUCACGCCGGGGGUCGCGGGUUCGAGUCCCGUCCAGUCCGCCA